This 261-nucleotide ribosomal RNA is filed under the name Ochromonas sp. CCMP1393. RNAcentral's name for it is "partial Eukaryotic large subunit ribosomal RNA". It matches the Rfam family "Eukaryotic large subunit ribosomal RNA", at positions 180 to 436 of the family's 3401-position model. The record is from RNAcentral. Lineage: Eukaryota; Chrysophyceae; Chromulinales; Chromulinaceae.
UACAAGUCCCUUGGAACAGGGCGUCAUAGAGGGUGAGAAUCCCGUCCUUGACAUGGACCCCCGGUGCUUUGUGAUACAUUUUCAACGAGUCGAGUUGUUUGGGAAUGCAGCUCAAAGCGGGUGGUAAAUCUCAUCUAAGGCUAAAUACCGGCCAGAGACCGAUAGCGCACAAGUAGAGUGAUCGAAAGAUGAAAAGCACUUUGGAAAGAGAGUUAAAAAGCACGUGAAAUUGUUGAAAGGGAAGCGCUUGCAAUCAGACUU